This 335-nucleotide unclassified non-coding RNA is filed under the name soil metagenome. RNAcentral describes it as "partial contains 5.8S ribosomal RNA, internal transcribed spacer 2, and large subunit ribosomal RNA". The stretch from base 1 to 120 matches the Rfam family "5.8S ribosomal RNA", at positions 35 to 154 of the family's 154-position model. The record is from RNAcentral.
GAUGAAGAACGUAGCGAAAUGCGAUAAGUAGUGUGAAUUGCAGAAUUCAGUGAAUCAUCGAAUCUUUGAACGCACAUUGCGCCCGCCAGUAUUCUGGCGGGCAUGCCUGUUCGAGCGUCAUUUCAACCAUCAAGCCCCAGGCUUGUGUUGGGGACCUGCGGCUGCCGCAGGCCCUGAAAACCAGUGGCGGGCUCGCUGUCACACCGGGCGUAGUAGAUUUUAUCUCGCUCUGGGCGUGCUGCGGGUUCCGGCCGUUAAAAAACCCUUUUAACCCAAGGUUGACCUCGGAUCAGGUAGGAAUACCCGCUGAACUUAAGCAUAUCAUAAGCGGAGGA